Molecule: ribosomal RNA, 374 nt
Filed under: uncultured bacterium
Lineage: Bacteria
Description: bacterial SSU rRNA
Rfam family: Bacterial small subunit ribosomal RNA
Source: RNAcentral
ACGUAGGGUGCGAGCGUUAAUCGGAAUUACUGGGCGUAAAGCGUGCGCAGGCGGUUUUGUAAGACAGACGUGAAAUCCCCGGGCUUAACCUGGGAACUGCGUUUGUGACUGCAAGGCUAGAGUAUGGCAGAGGGGGGGUAGAAUUCCACGUGUAGCAGUGAAAUGCGUAGAGAUGUGGAGGAAUACCGAUGGCGAAGGCAGCCCCCUGGGUCAAUACUGACGCUCAUGCACGAAAGCGUGGGGAGCAAACAGGAUUAGAUACCCUGGUAGUCCACGCCCUAAACGAUGUCAACUAGGUGUUGGGGGAGGAGACUUCCUUAGUACCGCAGCUAACGCGUGAAGUUGACCGCCUGGGGAGUACGGCCGCAAGGUUG